This is a long non-coding RNA of Mastomys coucha (southern multimammate mouse), 1069 nucleotides long. RefSeq lists it as uncharacterized. The transcript is spliced from 3 exons. The record is from RefSeq and is a predicted model, not a curated record. Lineage: Eukaryota; Metazoa; Chordata; Mammalia; Rodentia; Muridae.
CUACUCAGGCCAUCUUUUAUUAAAAAGGAAUUUCACAUAUGAAACCUUAGUUUUUAGGCUAAAUAAAGAAAAAUCUCCAGAUUUAAAAAGAUCCUGAAGAUACCAUGGUCUAGGUAUAGUAACACAUCCUCCUCAUCCCAGUGCUGGAGUGGCUCAGGGUGGAGGGCAAGGUCAAGGUCAUUCUCUGCCCCUUGACAAUGGGACUGGGGUGGGGGUAAGGGCUGAGGAGGGGAGGGAGGGGAGGUAGCACAGGGCACAACCUCUUGAAGGAGUGUUUCACAUCUACUACUAGACUGGAUAGUUCCUGUUUAUCCUUUUUCUCUAUGCUCCGGCUGACCUGAUGGACAAAUCAGGGAGCUCCCUGGUCUUAUGGAAGUCAAGAGGUGCCAUCACCAGUUGCUGAGGACAUGAAGAGAGUGGCAUGUGUGUUUCUAGUAGCUUGUUCACAGGUUAAAGAAAGUGUCGUAGAAGAUGUGAGCCAUUCUGCACCUCUUCAGAUCUCGCAGAGUUAUCCUGCCUAUGGAAACACAAAUGUACCUUGUAAAUUCUACUGGCAGCUUUUUUGACAAAAGAGAAAACUCACUGAUGUUGAAAAGUUUAUGUAUAUGUCCAUUUUAUUAUAAAUCACAUUUUUUUAAAAGGAUGAACAGUGUACACCGCUGUCCCAUUGGCCUUACCAUCACUGGCUGGCUUCACCAAGUCAAGCAUCUGGCACAACAGAUCAUGGAAUGGCAAGGGCUCAAUGCCCAUGGCUUCCAUCCGUUCACACUGCUCUUCAUAGAAGUACUCUAGUUCAUACAUGGAAAGUAUACCAUCUCCAUCCACAUCCAUGCAGCGGAACCAAUACUCAAUGCUAAGAGGUAAAAGAUGCUUGUUAGCAUGGACCCAGUAGAGGUUCUUUUAAAGUAAAUCUACAUGUCUUACAGAUUAUGCUUAGUUUAUAAAGGUUUAUUAGAAAAAACAAUGGAAGGCUGGAGAGAUGGCUCAGCCAUUAAAAGAUAGUUCCACAACCAAAAAUAUAAUAAUAAAAAAAAAAACCAAUGGGAGGUCCCUUCUGCCAUCUGUUUUU